Oncorhynchus kisutch (coho salmon) is the source of this 757-nucleotide long non-coding RNA. RefSeq lists it as uncharacterized. The transcript has 4 exons. NCBI's taxonomy places the organism in Eukaryota, Metazoa, Chordata, Actinopteri, Salmoniformes, Salmonidae. The record is from RefSeq and is a predicted model, not a curated record.
AGUAAUAAUAUUGAGACAGUGAUAUUGGGAAAUCAUUUGUAUGACAUCCAGACACAGUAUUAACCCUCUCAGUCUCGUCAAGAUCAACAAAAGGCUAAUAUUGAUUAAUGAGUCUAAUAAGUAGAUCAUGAUUGUUUUCAUUGCUAAUCUGCGUAUUUAUGUAGAGGUUGCCAUGAGACAAACUACAUCCGAAAUGAGGCAAGAGUGAAGUUACAGGAACACAACAAUUAAUAAUGAAGACAUGCCUGUUCUAUCGCUAAUGGAAUUUCCCUAAAGUACCUGUUUCGAGGAGUCAAGUGCUGGAAGUCUGCUUUCAUGAUGACAUUUGCUGUACUUGCCAUAAUGCUUUUGGUUACUGUGCCUGAAACUCACUCUGGCCGUCACUAUCAUGGAAGCUUCUCUGACAGUGAUGAGAGGUUCUAUCUUGCCCCGAUCCCAACAUUUCACUGGUAUCAACCGAGGCCAGUGCCACCCCGACUUCAGUUCCCUCUCUGGCCCUUCUUCCCUGGGUUACUGCCCCAGCCGGCCCCUGCUCCUAUCCCAGCACCAAGGCCUGGACCAAGUCCGGGCCAGACCACCACUGCCCCUGCCACAACUAGUAAAAGGGGAGAUAACGGAUAAACAGGACCCAUCUCAGAACCGGACCAAUACCAACCCAAUGGAUCUUAUUUUGGACUAUAUGUUUUUAUUCUAAAAUCACAAUGGUACAUUCAAUAACAACAUAUUAUACUUUAUUCAUUAAAUAUUCUGGGUGAAA